RNAcentral lists this ribosomal RNA (764 nucleotides) under uncultured Streptococcus sp. Its description in RNAcentral is "bacterial SSU rRNA". It matches the Rfam family "Bacterial small subunit ribosomal RNA", at positions 28 to 776 of the family's 1533-position model. Lineage: Bacteria; Bacillati; Bacillota; Bacilli; Lactobacillales; Streptococcaceae. The record is from RNAcentral.
GACGAACGCUGGCGGCGUGCCUAAUACAUGCAAGUAGAACGCUGAAGCUUGGUGCUUGCACCGAGCGGAUGAGUUGCGAACGGGUGAGUAACGCGUAGGUAACCUGCCUGGUAGCGGGGGAUAACUAUUGGAAACGAUAGCUAAUACCGCAUAACAGUAGAUGUUGCAUGACAUUUGCUUAAAAGGUGCAAUUGCAUCACUACCAGAUGGACCUGCGUUGUAUUAGCUAGUUGGUGGGGUAACGGCUCACCAAGGCGACGAUACAUAGCCGACCUGAGAGGGUGAUCGGCCACACUGGGACUGAGACACGGCCCAGACUCCUACGGGAGGCAGCAGUAGGGAAUCUUCGGCAAUGGACGGAAGUCUGACCGAGCAACGCCGCGUGAGUGAAGAAGGUUUUCGGAUCGUAAAGCUCUGUUGUAAGAGAAGAACGAGUGUGAGAGUGGAAAGUUCACACUGUGACGGUAUCUUACCAGAAAGGGACGGCUAACUACGUGCAGCAGCCGCGGUAAUACGUAGGUCCCGAGCGUUGUCCGGAUUUAUUGGGCGUAAAGCGAGCGCAGGCGGUUAGAUAAGUCUGAAGUUAAAGGCUGUGGCUUAACCAUAGUACGCUUUGGAAACUGUUUAACUUGAGUGCAAGAGGGGAGAGUGGAAUUCCAUGUGUAGCGGUGAAAUGCGUAGAUAUAUGGAGGAACACCGGUGGCGAAAGCGGCUCUCUGGCUUGUAACUGACGCUGAGGCUCGAAAGCGUGGGGAGCAAACAGG